Molecule: long non-coding RNA, 908 nt
Organism: Haemorhous mexicanus (house finch)
Lineage: Eukaryota; Metazoa; Chordata; Aves; Passeriformes; Fringillidae
Exons: 3
Source: RefSeq, a predicted model, not a curated record
UGACCCCCCCAGGUGCUGUCGGAGCUGGGCUACGUCUGGGGGGGCGCGGUGGCCCUGGGGGCUGUCCCUUGUCCCUUGUGACCCCUGUGUGACCCCUGUGACCCCUGUGUGACCCCUGUGUGACCCCCCAGGUGCUGUCGGCGCUGGGCUACGUCUCGGGGGGCGCGGUGGCCCUGGGGGGCUGUGUGACCCCUGUAUGACCCCUGUGACCCCUGUGUGACCCCUGUAUGACCCCUGUGACCCCUGUGUGACCCCUGUGUGACCCCCCAGGUGCUGUCGGAGCUGGGCUACGUCUCGGGGGGCGCGGUGGCCCUGGGGGGCCGCGUGGCCGCCCUGCUGAGCACGGAGCAGCUGGUGCUGACCGAGCUGCUGCUGGGCAACGUGCUGGCGCCGCUGCGGCCCCGAGGAGAGCGUGGCCCUGCUCUCCUGCCUGGUCACCCCCGGCCGCGGGGACCCCCUGCCCGAGGGGCUGCCCCCCUGCCCUGACACAGGCCCUGGAGCGCCUCCGCGCCGUCGCCGCCCGCGUGGGCCCGGCUGGAGCAGCAGCGCGGCCUCGGGCCCGGCCCCGACGACUUCGUGGCCCAGUUCGGCUUCGGCCUGGUCCAGGUGGUCUACGAGUGGGCCAGGGGCAUGCCGUUCGCGGAGAUCGCGCGCCUGGCGCCGGUGCAGGAGGGCUCGGUGGUCCGGGCCAUCCAGCGCCUGGAGGAGCUGCUGCGGGAGCUGCGCCAGGCCGCGCGCGCCGUGGGCGACCCCGCCAUGGCCGCCAAGAUGGAGGCGGCCGCCGCCAUGAUCAAGCGCGACAUCGUCUUCGCCGCCAGCCUCUACACGCAAUAAAGGGACACGGGGGGACAGGGGGGACGGCCACGCUGACCCCCGACCCCCCCCCGAGGCCCUGUGGUUUGGUCCAA